RNAcentral lists this ribosomal RNA (411 nucleotides) under uncultured eukaryote. RNAcentral describes it as "bacterial SSU rRNA". It matches the Rfam family "Eukaryotic small subunit ribosomal RNA", at positions 34 to 435 of the family's 1831-position model. The record is from RNAcentral.
GUCUCAAAGACUAAGCCAUGCAUGUGUUAGUAUGAACUGAAUUUAUAUAGUGAAACUGCGAAUGGCUCAUUACAUCAGUUAUAGUUUAUUUUGAUAGAUAUGCGUUCAGCACUACAUGGAUACCUGUAGUAACAUAGAGCUAAUACAUGCAUAAGAAUCUGACUUUACGGAAGGAUUUGCACUUAUUAGAUACCAAACCAAUAUCCUCUCGGGGAUUUAUUAGGUGAAUCACAAUAACUGAACAAAUCGCAUAGUCUUGCACUGGCGAUGUAUCAAUCAAGUUUCUGCCCUAUCAACUUGAUGUUAGUGUAUUGUACUAACAUGGUUUUUACGGGUAACAGAGGAUUAGGGUUCGAUCCUGGAGAAGGAGCAUGAGAAAUGGCUACUAUUUCUAAGGAAAGCAGCAGGCGC